AGAGUUUGAUCCUGGCUCAGAUUGAACGCUGGCGGCAUGCCUUACACAUGCAAGUCGAACGGCAGCACGGGGGCAACCCUGGUGGCGAGUGGCGAACGGGUGAGUAAUACAUCGGAACGUGUCCUGUAGUGGGGGAUAGCCCGGCGAAAGCCGGAUUAAUACCGCAUACGAUCUACGGAAGAAAGCGGGGGACCGAAAGGCCUCGCGCUAUAGGGGCGGCCGAUGGCAGAUUAGCUAGUUGGUGGGGUAAAGGCCUACCAAGGCGACGAUCUGUAGCUGGUCUGAGAGGACGACCAGCCACACUGGGACUGAGACACGGCCCAGACUCCUACGGGAGGCAGCAGUGGGGAAUUUUGGACAAUGGGGGAAACCCUGAUCCAGCAAUGCCGCGUGUGUGAAGAAGGCCUUCGGGUUGUAAAGCACUUUUGUCCGGAAAG
This 437-nucleotide ribosomal RNA is filed under the name uncultured bacterium. RNAcentral describes it as "bacterial SSU rRNA". It matches the Rfam family "Bacterial small subunit ribosomal RNA", at positions 8 to 447 of the family's 1533-position model. The record is from RNAcentral.